CCAGACUCCUACGGGAGGAAGCAGUGGGGACUCUUGCACAAUGGGGGGCCCCAUGAUGCCGCGACGCCGCGUGCGUGCAGAAGUAUUUCGGUAUGUAAAGCUCUAUCAGCAGGGAAGAAGAUGACGGUCCCUGACUAAGAAGCCCCGGCUAACUACGUGCCAGCAGCCGCGGUAAUACGUAGGGGGCAAGCGUUAUCCGGAUUUACUGGGUGUAAAGGGAGCGGAGACGGCAGGGCAAGUCUGGAGUGAAAGCCCGGGGCCCAACCCCGUGACUGCUUUGGAAGCUGCCAUGCUAGAGUGCUGGAGAGGUAAGCGGAAUUCCUAGUGUAGCGGUGAAAUGCGUAGAUAUUAGGAGGAACACCAGUGGCGAAGGCGGCUUACUGGACAUUAACUAACGUUGAGCCUCGAAAGCGUGGGGAGCAAACAGGAUUAGAUACCCGAUUACAA
Molecule: ribosomal RNA, 447 nt
Filed under: uncultured bacterium
Lineage: Bacteria
Description: bacterial SSU rRNA
Rfam family: Bacterial small subunit ribosomal RNA
Source: RNAcentral